AUUAUGUUUUUUAAGUUAGUAUUUUAAAAUUUACUGGUCAACAAAUAUUUUUUUUUUUUAAAUGUGUGAAUGUAUAAUUAAAUAUGUAUUAAGAUUUAUGAGAAUUAUAUAGUAUUUGAUUUAUUAAGAUAUUUAUAUAAAUUUUUUCCAAGCAUAUAUAUAUGUGUCACAUUCAGCAUCCACUUAGCUUACUAAUUCAAGAAGGCACAUGGCACAGUUUGGUGGGUAUACUGUGUGUGUGUGUGUGUGUGUGUGUGUGAGACCUCCUGUGCAUGCGUUUUUUUUGUUGUUUUUUUUCAUACAUGUAAAAGGCUUGCAUUUUUGAGUGAUUGAUUAGAUGAGUGAGUAAUGUGUGUGUGAGUGUGUGUUUAACAGUUAACGCGGCAGGGAGUGGACAGAAGGGCCAAGUGUGACAGGUGGACAGGCAUGAUAAGGAGAGAGCGGUGCAGCCCAGCGCUCAGCAGAAGCAGACCCCAGGAGAAUAUCCAGCCAAAAGCAGCUAAUAGCUGAUACUCAUCAGAGAUAGAGCCACUGAAGAUUUCCUUUCUCUGUGGAAUAGUCCGUUCAUUCAGCUCCAGCCCAAAUUCUCCUCCCUAAAAAUGUGAAAAGAUGUUGUUAAUCAAGUUUUAUACAACAGAACAGUUAAUGUUGGGACUGAAGGACUGUGCCAUGAUACGACGUAUAUCAAGGCUUUCUGCUUUACAGAUUUCACAUCAGUGUCUCAAUGCAAACUCAGCAAUGUUGUAACUCCAAGAAGAAGGGACACGAGCAACCCACUAAAUGUGUGUUUACACUGCUGAGCCCACACUUAUAAUUUUGUGAAUUCAAGCGGCAGCCCUAUGUGAGACCAUUUCAUGAAACUAAGAAAUUUUCAGAGGAGGACGUGCGAUGCCAAAAUAAGAACGAGAUGUUGGAAGGCACCGAAGAGGAAAAAUGAUCGGUUUGUCCUCUCGUUGGGAGCGGUCCAAAUCUGGAGCUUCAUCUGAAAAGUUUGUUUUUGCAGUUGGUCAUUGCUUAUAAAGCCCUUAAAACUUUACAAACGCACAUAUAACGUCAGCUCACGGUGGCAAGUCGACAUGUGACUUUCAAAAACAGCUGUUUAGCAUUCUAAAAUACAUCACUGUGCCCCACGAAAGGGUCAAUUACAAAUGGUCAGAUCUCAGGAGACGAAGCUUCGCUCUAAAUGCUUCCUGCAGAAAUCAAGAUCUACGAUACGUGUCGGCCAUUAUGUGAGACGUACGAGGUAAAAUUGCUAAUGUAAAAUUGGUAAUGUGAUUAGAACGGUCCCUGGCAGGCGAGACCGGGGCAGUGGUAAACAAGCCACCGCUCCUUAUGUGUAAGUGAAGAUGGUGGAGGAGACACAGACUCGACAUGAAUAACCUCAACCCGGCCUGUUUGCCCCGGAGCUAGAGGUCAGGACCUGUUUGGAAACAGUGUGUUAUGGCGUUUGGACAUACUUGUGCGGGUGCCGGACCAGUCUUCUGCAUUUUCUGCCCUUUAGCUUCUUACAUGCCAGUUAAAGUCACCGAGGACAGCAGCCGACAUCUCUUUUAGUGCCAAGACAGAGGAUCCGUUUGUUGACAGAGCCGUCCAUACAUACGCCAGAUUGGGAUCUGUGGCCUUAGUAAAGCCAAGGGUCUUACCCCCAUCAGACUCGCAGCGGUGACCCUCGUUUUAGUGUUCAUGCCCAGGCAGGUGUGCCCAUGAUUGUGGGGUGCAUGAACUGGCAUCCGUCAGGGCAUCCGUUCCCUUAGCGUGAAUGUAAAAGAGCCUACAGCCUGUGGGUGAGGCCCUUGUCUGUUUACCUGCCAACGGAGGGCAGAGAGGGGGCUAUAAGCACAGAAGGCCUCCUUUGUCCCGGUGUUCCUGGUGGCCCCCAGGGUCAAGGUCCCUCGUUUAGCUUUCUAAAAGGACUAUGGGUGUGUUUUCAUACUUGUUUUAUAUUAUUUAUACAGCCUGUUGUUAAAUUUCGCAUUUGAUUGCACUGAUACCAGUGUUUGGAGAUCGUCAGGAAUGAUUCUUGUGUACAGCCAGCUCUCAUUAAUUGUUGGUUCUCUUUUCUGUCCCUGCUUCAGGGAAGAAACAGCACUGAGUCAGAAUUUAAAAAGUGUGUUGCUGGAUUGACUCUUUUCUUUUUUUUUUGCACAUUCUAACAUUUUCAUGUUUGCCAUUCAUUAUUUACAAGCCAAGCAUCUUUUCUGGAAAGCUAUGUUUGAGUCUCCUUAGAGUACAAAUAUUUUCAGAAUUUGGCAUUAAAUUUGAGUGAAAAAUGUCUUGAAAUAGCUUGCAUUGGGGGCCUUAAUUACAAUACGAAAAAUAUUAAGGAUAGAAUUAAAUAUGUGACAUUUUUGUCUGUCAAUUUGUGAUCAAAAUGUGAGAUAUUAUAAAAUUUUGCUCAGUUUGACUUGCACAAUGUUGGCUAUGUUGUAUGUAUCAGGUUAGGUAACUGUUCUGUGUAGCCAGCAAUGUUCGUUUGUAUGUGUGUAUGUGAAUACCCACACUACCAUUUGAAAUCAGUAAGAUUUGUAUUUAUUUAUUUAUUUAUUGUAAGUAAUUGAAUUAGUUAGGACGAAUUGAAUUGAUCAAAAGUGACAGUAAAGAUAUUUAUAAUGUUACAUAAAAUUUAUCAUUGUAGCCUAAAUGCCUAAAUGCUAAAUUUCUAUUCAUUGAUGAAUCCUGAAGAAGCACAAC
This is a long non-coding RNA of Cyprinus carpio carpio, 2691 nucleotides long. NCBI's taxonomy places the organism in Eukaryota, Metazoa, Chordata, Actinopteri, Cypriniformes, Cyprinidae. The record is from Ensembl.